GAACGUGUUGAGCACCUAGUGAAAAUGUUCAUACCAACUUUUUUUUUCAAUAACAUCCAAGAAAUAAUAAUAAAUGGUAAUAAAGUUGUAAAGUGGGGAACAGAAUUACUGGAAAAGUUAUCAAGAAAUUUCAUUCCAUUUGGAGGGAUGUUAUUACAUUCUGUAUAAUUAUAUUGUAUAUCUAUAUAGUGACCUAUUAUCUAUUGUAUAAUUAGCCUAUUUUUAAUGGUCACUCUAGUCAGAAGUUUAAAUGUUUAAAUGAAAACUUAAGUUUCUACAAUUUUAAUGAUGAACAGGAAAAAUAAUUGUAUUUAUUUGUGUGCUGGCGCAGAUUUUUGUUUGUUUAUCAAGUGCCAAAUCUAAUUGAAUGAAUACAGUUAAAGGUUUUCUUUUUUUAGUGUACUAAUGUAUCCAGUAAAAUAAAAUGAUUCUCAUAUUUGAUGUGGUUCAGAAUAAUUAGUCUUUCUGAGCUGUGAAGCACCUUCUGCAGGAAGAAUAACUUUAUGCCCCACAGAAAACACAUGAUCAAAGUAACAGACAUGUAGCUGGAUGUAAGAAAGAUGUAACAGAUGGGCAGUUUUUCUGAAGCCAUCAGUGCUGAUGUUUCUAGUGUUUCUCAUAAUGACUGUCUCUCUUUAACUGUUCCAGGUCCAGGUCUGUCUCCAGGUGCAAUAGCAGGGAUUGUUGUUGGUGUUCUGCUGGGGGCUGCAGCUGUUGUUGUUGUUGGUGUGAUUUACUAUCGCCGCAGGAGCUCCAGAAAUGUGAACAGGCAGAACCCUACGUCGAAUGGGGCACAGGACCCAGGUGAUCAUGUUAAUGAAGGGACUGAAUUGACCAACGCUUCUUGAAAUGUGAACAGCUUAUAUUCACUGUAACAAUAUACAGAUGAAGAAUGACUGAAGUCAAGACAUUUGAGUUUUUGUAUCGUAAUGAGUGAAGCCUUAAUUUUUUUACAUAAACAGAGAAACAUGCUUUGAUUUAUGAUGACGUUGAUGUAACAGUUUGCUGUUUGCGCUGAUGCUGAUAUUGCACUGAUAUUAUGUUAUUUUGUAUUAAAGGCCAGUUUGACUGAUUUACAGUAAUGCAGGAUGUUACACUGUGAGACGGCUUGAUUGUUGUUACACCUGUAAGAUUGUGGAGAAGUAAUCUCAAGAUAAUUAAUGUAGCUAUAUGCUAUAAUUCUUGUUUGUUUUUAUUUGAUGUUCUUGCGCUGUUACUUCACACAUAUUUGUGCUUUAUUGAAGUGUUCAUGCUUAAAUAUUUUGUAUUAAAUGUAGUGUCAUAUAGACGGCAUUAUAAUCUUUUUGUUUUUCCAUCUCUCUGUCACCUGAUAAGCUGUGAGUGUGAUAUCUGAACUGAUCUGAAUUCAGUGUUUUUCUGAAGACUGCAGUCUGUGUUCAUACAGGACUUACAGAUGAUCUUGCUGUCUAACAUUUCAGUCCUUCAGCUUUUGCUUGUUUAUAAACCACUGUUAUAACAGGAAACAGUGUUAGUAUUAAGAAAAUAAAAUGAUGUGUGUGACUAAUUCUGUUGUGUUU
Cyprinus carpio (common carp) is the source of this 1538-nucleotide long non-coding RNA. NCBI's taxonomy places the organism in Eukaryota, Metazoa, Chordata, Actinopteri, Cypriniformes, Cyprinidae. The record is from Ensembl.